UUUAAUUGAAGAGUUUGAUCAUGGCUCAGAUUGAACGCUGGCGGCAGGCUUAACACAUGCAAGUCGAGCGGUAGCACAAGGGAGCUUGCUCCCUGGGUGACGAGCGGCGGACGGGUGAGUAAUGUCUGGGAAACUGCCUGAUGGAGGGGGAUAACUACUGGAAACGGUAGCUAAUACCGCAUAACGUCGCAAGACCAAAGAGGGGGA
Molecule: ribosomal RNA, 207 nt
Filed under: Serratia marcescens
Lineage: Bacteria; Pseudomonadati; Pseudomonadota; Gammaproteobacteria; Enterobacterales; Yersiniaceae
Description: partial 16S ribosomal RNA
Rfam family: Bacterial small subunit ribosomal RNA
Source: RNAcentral